GCCACGGCAACAAAGUGAGACUCUGUCUCAAAAGAAAGAUGAUAAAUGUAGUUUCUAAAUAUCAUAUUAUUAUAAGAAUAUCAUGUUUGUUGAUUGCUAACAACUGGUUUUGUACUGAAACUUUAUUAACUAUCAUGGUGAAAAUUUACUCUGUCCUCUGCUAUUUUAUUUUUUCUUUUCCUUUUAAAACACCCAAAAGGCACUAUAACCCUCUGUUAUUUAUUAACGCACAUAUGUUGAGGUGAGGACAUUUCUAAGCCCCCAAAUUGCUGACUUUGCAAUGUUUUAGUGUCUGUUUGUUUUUUCUUUUAUGUUGCAGUGGUGCGAAUAAAGAGCCGAAUAACUUAUGUACUACUCUACAUGUGAUAGGACAAAACUAAGAAAAUUUUAAUAGGCUGGAAAAGAUGUCAUCAUGUGGAGAAUGAUGUGCCAUUAUUUAGUAUAACACAGAGAAAGAAAAAGAUACCAACACUGCCAAUUAAGUAGACAUACCAUCACAUAUAAGAUGAACUUCAACUUCAGAGAUAUCAAAAUGUGAAAAAUAUGUCCUUCUUAAAAGUUAUGAGGUGUUAAGAUUUGGGUUUUAGACCCUCUUCUGGCUCACUAAAACCUGGAUUCAGGAAGAAAGAGAAGCACCAGAUAUAGACAGUUCACAAAUUGG
This 661-nucleotide long non-coding RNA is filed under the name Homo sapiens (human). RNAcentral's name for it is "HSALNT0369384". The record is from RNAcentral. Lineage: Eukaryota; Metazoa; Chordata; Mammalia; Primates; Hominidae.